CACCGCGGUUAGACGAAAGGCCCAAGUUGAUAUUAUCCGGCGUAAAGGGUGGUUAGGACAUACUAUUAAAUAAAGCCGAACGACCUCAAAGCUGUCAUACGCCUUCGAGACCAAGAAGCCCAACUGCGAAAGUAGCUUUACUUAUUCUGAACCCACGAAAGCUGAGGAACAAACUGGGAUUAGAUACCCCACUAUGCUCAGCCCUAAACAUUGGUAGCGCAUCACAGCCGCUACCCGCCUGGGUACUACGAGCACCAGCUUAAAACCCAAAGGACUUGGCGGUGCUUUAGACCCCCCUAGAGGAGCCUGUUGUGUAACCGAUAACCCCCGUUUAACCUCACCUUUCCUUGUCCCUCCCGCCUAUAUACCGCCGUCGUCAGCUCACCCUGUGAAGGCCUAAUAGUAAGCAAAAUUAGCACAGCCCAGAACGUCAGGUCGAGGUGUAGCGCAUGGAAGGGGAACAAAUGGGCUACACUCACUAUGAUAGUGAAUACGAAUGAUAUCCUGAAACGGACAUCUGAAGGUGGAUUUAGCAGUAAAUUACGAAUAGAGAACCCUAUUGAAGCCGGCUCUAAAGCGCGCACACACCGCCCGUCACCCUCCCCGAGAUCGUAAGACUCUUUUCUAAAGCCCCUACAACAGAAAGGGGAGGCAAGUCGUAACAUGGUAAGCG
RNAcentral lists this ribosomal RNA (673 nucleotides) under Centropristis striata (black sea bass). Its description in RNAcentral is "partial 12S ribosomal RNA". It matches the Rfam family "Bacterial small subunit ribosomal RNA", at positions 513 to 1502 of the family's 1533-position model. Lineage: Eukaryota; Metazoa; Chordata; Actinopteri; Perciformes; Serranidae. The record is from RNAcentral.